GCCAGGCGCAGUGCUGUGCGCCUGUAAUCCCAGUGGCUCUGGAGGCCGAGGCAGGAGGAUCACAAGUUGAGCAGUUUUCCUGGGUGCUUGGUGGAGAGUAGCAGAGUGUCCUGCCCUU
Molecule: small RNA, 118 nt
Filed under: Marmota monax (woodchuck)
Lineage: Eukaryota; Metazoa; Chordata; Mammalia; Rodentia; Sciuridae
Source: RNAcentral